UUUCCGUAGGUGAACCUGCGGAAGGAUCAUUAUUGUAUAACCGAGGUGCGAGGGCUGUCGCUGACCCGAAAGGUCGUGCACGCCCGAGUGCCCUCACACACAUCCAUCUCACCCCUGUGUGCACCACCGCGUGGGUCCCCCUUUGGCUUGUUCGGAGGGGGGCUUACGUUUUCACACAAACUUUGUAUGCAGUGUAGAAUGUAUUUUUUGUUCUUGCGAUCACGCAAUCAAUACAACUUUCAACAACGGAUCUCUUGGCUCUC
RNAcentral lists this unclassified non-coding RNA (263 nucleotides) under plant metagenome. RNAcentral's name for it is "partial contains small subunit ribosomal RNA, internal transcribed spacer 1, and 5.8S ribosomal RNA". The record is from RNAcentral.